GUGCUCACUUUGGUAGCACAUACANUAACAUUGGAACAAGACAGAGGUGGUUAUUAUGGCCUCUGUGUAAGGAUGACACACAGAUCCAUGUAGCGUUCCAUAUUCCC
Molecule: small nuclear RNA, 107 nt
Filed under: Neotoma lepida (desert woodrat)
Lineage: Eukaryota; Metazoa; Chordata; Mammalia; Rodentia; Cricetidae
Source: RNAcentral